Molecule: ribosomal RNA, 466 nt
Filed under: Vreelandella stevensii
Lineage: Bacteria; Pseudomonadati; Pseudomonadota; Gammaproteobacteria; Oceanospirillales; Halomonadaceae
Description: partial 16S ribosomal RNA
Rfam family: Bacterial small subunit ribosomal RNA
Source: RNAcentral
CCUACGGGAGUGCAGCAGUGGGGAAUAUUGGACAAUGGGCGAAAGCCUGAUCCAGCCAUGCCGCGUGUGUGAAGAAGGCCUUCGGGUUGUAAAGCACUUUCAGUGGGGAAGAAAGCCUUGGGGCUAAUACCCUCGAGGAAGGACAUCACCCACAGAAGAAGCACCGGCUAACUCCGUGUCAGCAGCCGCGGUAAUACGGAGGGUGCGAGCGUUAAUCGGAAUUACUGGGCGUAAAGCGCGCGUAGGCGGUCUGAUAAGCCGGUUGUGAAAGCCCCGGGCUCAACCUGGGAACGGCAUCCGGAACUGUCAGGCUAGAGUGCAGGAGAGGAAGGUAGAAUUCCCGGUGUAGCGGUGAAAUGCGUAGAGAUCGGGAGGAAUACCAGUGGCGAAGGCGGCCUUCUGGACUGACACUGACGCUGAGGUGCGAAAGCGUGGGUAGCAAACAGGAUUAGAUACCCUGGUAGUC